Molecule: RNA transcript, 3934 nt
Organism: Columba livia (rock pigeon)
Lineage: Eukaryota; Metazoa; Chordata; Aves; Columbiformes; Columbidae
Gene name: integrator complex subunit 6-like
Exons: 19
Source: RefSeq, a predicted model, not a curated record
UCCACCAUGAAUAUGCAAAUAUGGGUAUAAUUGGCAGCCAAUGGCGUGCGCGCUGGUCACAUGGUGCUGGUGGAAGCUCAGGGAAGAGAAGUUGAGUCUCGGCGAACACAGGCAGCUCAGUAACCAGCCGCAGCGGCCGGAGCGGGCGGCCGGGCAGGGGAGUGAGUGCGCCGCUCCCCCACCCUCCCUCCUCCCCGCAGGGUGCCCGGCGGGCCGGGGCUCUGCCUGGACCAUGCCGAUCCUCCUCUUCCUCAUAGACACGUCCGCCUCCAUGAACCAGCGGGCGUAUCUAGGCACCAGCUACCUGGACAUCGCCAAGGGCGCUGUGGAGAUCUUCAUGAAGCUGCGGGCCCGGGACCCGGCCAGCCGCGGCGACAGGUACAUGCUGGUUACCUUCGACGAGCCGCCCUACUGUAUCAAGGCUGGAUGGAAGGAAAACCAUGCAACGUUUAUGAACGAACUGAAAAAUCUUCAGGCUUCAGGACUAACAACCCUUGGUCAGGCACUCAGGUCAUCGUUUGACUUGUUAAAUCUCAAUAGAUUAGUGUCUGGAAUAGACAACUAUGGACAGGGAAGGAAUCCAUUCUUUUUGGAACCAUCUAUUUUGAUUACAAUCACAGACGGAAACAAACUGACAAAUACCGCUGGAGUUCAAGAGGAGCUUCAUCUUCCUUUGAAUUCUCCUUUGCCUGGAAGUGAACUAACCAAAGAACCGUUUCGUUGGGAUCAAAGGCUGUUCGCUCUGGUGCUGCGUUUGCCAGGAGCUGCAGCUGCUGAACCGGAGCAGCUGGGGAGUGUGCCCACCGAUGAAUCCGCCAUCACACAGAUGUGCGAAGUUACAGGAGGUCGUUCUUACUGCGUUCGGACACAAAGAAUGUUGAAUCAAUGUUUAGAAUCUCUAGUUCAAAAAGUCCAAAGUGGAGUUGUUAUUAACUUUGAAAAGUCAGGACCAGAUCCAGCUCCUAUUGGAGAAGAUGGACUUGUUGAUUCAUCCAGGCCCAUCAAUUCAUUUGCUUCUCAGCCAUGGCAUAGUUGUCAUAAACUCAUUUAUGUCCGGCCUAACCCUAAAACGGGUGUUCCUGUUGGACAUUGGCCAAUCCCAGAAUCUUUUUGGCCUGAUCAGAAUUCGCCAACACUGCCUCCACGCACAGCUCACCCUGUCGUGAGGUUCUCCUGUGUCGAUUGUGAGCCAAUGGUGAUAGACAAGCUUCCAUUUGACAAGUAUGAGCUUGAGCCUUCACCCUUAACACAGUACAUCUUGGAACGAAAGUCUCCCCAUACCUGCUGGCAGGUAUUUGUGAGUAGCAGUGGAAAAUACAGCGAACUUGGCCAUCCGUUUGGGUAUUUAAAAGCAAGCACUACUUUAACCUGUGUAAACCUCUUUGUGAUGCCUUACAACUAUCCUGUUUUACUUCCGUUGUUAGCAGAGGAGGAGAGCUACCUGCUUCCAGUGCAUGUUUGAUGCUGUUCACCUCCUAGACACGUAGCCUCUUCCUUAACCUGGAAUGACUUGUUUAAGGUUCACAAACUUAAGCCAAAUCUGAAGUGGCGACAGGCUUUUGACAACUACUUAAAAACAAUGCCUCCCUACUACUUACUGCCAUUAAAGAAAGCCCUAAGGAUGAUGGGAGCUCCAAAUCUGAUAUCAGAUAAUUUAGAUUGUGGACUUAGUUACAGUGUUAUCUCUUACCUUAAAAAACUCAGCCAACAGACAAAAAUAGAGUCGGAACGGAUAAUAGGUUCAGUGGGUAAGAAAGUUCCACAAGAAAUUGGAAUAAAAGUGAAAAACCACUCCAGUGGCCUCUCCUUGGUACACAGUAGGGAUUUUAAGCAACUGCUGCAAGGGAUCACUGGGGAAUCUCCACUGAGACUGGCGGAAAUGAAUGUAAAGGAAUUUGCUGGCUUCCACAUAGGACUUUUGAACAAGGAUUUGAAGCCACAGGCAUUCAGAAAUGCAUAUGAUAUUCCUCGUCGCAGUCUUCUAGACCAGCUAACUAGAAUGAGAACCAAUCUUCUGAAAACGCACAGGUUUAUCUUGGGGCAGGAUGAAGACAGCCUUCAUAGUGUUCCUGUUGCUCAAAUGGGAAAUUACCAGGAAUACCUGAAAAUGAUGCCUUCACCCCUUCGAGAGAUUGACCCAGAUCAACCAAAAAGACUUCAUACAUUUGGCAAUCCAUUUAAACAGGAUAAGAAGGGUAUGAUGAUAGAUGAAGCAGAUGAAUUUGUCGCUGGGCCUCAGAAUAAGAUUAAGCGUCCUGGAGAGCUCAAUACUCCAGCAUCACUGAAGAGAAGGCGCAGCAUGUCGCCACUGUUGAGACGGCCACAGUCACCGCCGGUCGUGACAAAUCACGUUGGUGGGAAAGGGCCACCAUCCGCUUCUGGAUCCCCAUCGUAUCUGAACCUCAAAGGUGUCCCAGCAAAUAAAGAUAUCAAUAACAGUAUUGUCCAAGAUGGUAAUGGAGAGAAGAAAGCAGAAGAUGGUCAGUCACUGGAAAAGCACAUUGAUGGCUUGCCUGUGCAAAUGGCUCCUUCGGUUCCAGCUGCUUUGGGAGAGGAUGAAAUGUUACCGAAUGACUUGGACUCUCUACCUGUUGAAUUCAAUUGUUUAAGUGAAGAUGGGUUGGAUCAUAAACCUGAUACCAACGCACUUGUUCGAGGGCCUCUAAAUUAUGGUGUGGCUGGAGAUGACCAAAAACGAGUGAUGGAGUCUACUUCCGAAUCUGUGCCAAAUUCAUUUAAAAUAACACCGACGAUGUUGGAGGGAAACAAUGCUGAUAUCAAAAUUAAGGUGAUGAAAGAGGUUCGCAAACCUGGAAGAAAUUAUGAAAAAAUUUUCUCUCUUCUUGAGGAGGUGCAAGGACCUAUGGAAAUUCAGAAGUAUUUCAUUGAAUUUGCUAUCAAGGAAGCAGCAAGGUUUAAAAAACGAGUCUUAAUACAACACUUAGAGAGAAUACUAGAGGAACUAGAGUUCAACAGCCUACCCAACAGAGUUAAUCAUGUCAACAGUAGAUAAUAAUGUACCGGCCAGACGAAUACGGACCAGGAAUGAGUUUGCUGUGCCGCAGAAGAGUGGAAGAGGACGUAGCUGCUGCCCUCACCAUCUUGGCAGCCAAGUGAUUUUACUGUCACAGUCUGAGAAGAAGCAGUGGAGCUUUAACUUUAAGAACCUCUAUCGGCAGAAGCUGGGCUAUAACCUUAAGGAUUUGCUAUGAAAGGUGUGGCUUUUUUCCUGUGGAGGGUGCUAUUUGCUCAACAGGCUGAAGAAAAUAAGCAUUGCUGCCCCUCCUGCAGGUGAUGAGAAUUUACUCAGUUGAACGCUGUCGUUAGACAUUUACGUGCUAUAGGCAGCAGGUUGCACUAAAAUGGGGCACUGUCAAAUGCACACACUGUCUGCAUCGUGGAGAGAGCCCGUGUGUUCCCAAAAAUAAAAAAAACCUCCCAGAAACACCUGCACUGGUAAAAUUGCAUGUGGCCACCACAGAGACAAGGGUCUUGUUCCCGAGAACUGCUAGCCAUGCCUUUAAACUUGAGAUUCAGUGUAGAUUGAGAGUAAAGAAACUGCUAUUGUGUUAAUGAAAGCUAAAGACAGCCCUGUGACUGUUACCACCCGAUGGUCACUAAACAAUCUACCUCAGACUCUCUUCUGUUUUGUCUGCAGACAUUAUGAAAGUGCACCUGAGGCUUCCCAGGUCCCCGACUUCAGUUCUCUUUCAUCCUGUGAGGAGGACGGAGAUUCUUCAGGUGGCCUUGGCACACGCUGUGCUUUGGAAGCACUAAAAGGAAACGCUUUUAAAAACGUGUAUUUUAAUGUUCAUACAAAAGAGAUUAUUUUGAACAGUAUUGUUACCAGAUCACUAAUUUGAUAUUUUAACUGUAUAAAUUUUUUUGGAACAUAUGUAUAUAUAAAAUAAACCAUUUUAUUAAUUUUUAAUAA